GCUGGUGUAAAUGAUGACUCCCACUUUUUUCCCCAUCUUAUCGACAAUGCUGAUGUUUCAUAAUACUUGCCAGUUACUCCUGAUACACCAGC
This 92-nucleotide small nucleolar RNA is filed under the name Chinchilla lanigera (long-tailed chinchilla). RNAcentral's name for it is "Small nucleolar SNORD12/SNORD106 (ENSCLAG00000018439.1)". It matches the Rfam family "Small nucleolar SNORD12/SNORD106". From Rfam's summary of the family: This family belong to the C/D class of snoRNA which contain the C (UGAUGA) and D (CUGA) box motifs. This family includes the human ortholog of mouse snoRNA HBII-99 and human snoRNA U106. Lineage: Eukaryota; Metazoa; Chordata; Mammalia; Rodentia; Chinchillidae. The record is from Rfam by way of RNAcentral.